GUGCCAGCAGCCGCGGUAAGACGGAGGGUGCUAGCGUUGUUCGGAAUUACUGGGCGUAAAGGGCGCGUAGGCGGCCUGAUCAGUCGGGUGUGAAAGCCCGGGGCUCAACCCCGGAACGGCACCCGAGACGGUCAGGCUGGAGACCGGGAGAGGAGGGUGGAAUAGCCAGUGUAGAGGUGAAAUUCGUAGAUAUUGGCUGGAACACCGGUGGCGAAAGCGGCUCUCUGGCCCGGUUCUGACGCUGAGGCGCGAAAGCGUGGGGAGCAAACAGGAUUAGAUACCCUGGUAGUCCACGCCCUAAACGAUGUGUGCUGGGCGUCGGGGGGCUUGCCCCUCGGUGCCGGAGCUAACGCGGUAAGCACACCGCCUGGGGAGUACGGCCGCAAGGUUAAA
RNAcentral lists this ribosomal RNA (393 nucleotides) under uncultured bacterium. RNAcentral describes it as "bacterial SSU rRNA". It matches the Rfam family "Bacterial small subunit ribosomal RNA", at positions 505 to 898 of the family's 1533-position model. The record is from RNAcentral.